This 253-nucleotide ribosomal RNA is filed under the name uncultured bacterium. RNAcentral's name for it is "partial 16S ribosomal RNA". It matches the Rfam family "Bacterial small subunit ribosomal RNA", at positions 524 to 776 of the family's 1533-position model. The record is from RNAcentral.
UACGUAGGGUGCGAGCGUUAAUCGGAAUUACUGGGCGUAAAGCGUGCGCAGGCGGUUUUGUAAGCCAGAUGUGAAAGCCCCGGGCUCAACCUGGGAAUGGCAUUUGGGACUGCAAGGCUUGAGUGCGGCAGAGGAGACUGGAAUUCCUGGUGUAGCAGUGAAAUGCGUAGAUAUCAGGAGGAAUACCGAUGGCGAAGGCAGGUCUCUGGGCUGACACUGACGCUCAUGCACGAAAGCGUGGGGAGCAAACGGG